GAUGUUCUGCGGUAGAUUCGGCCUCUCUCUCACUCUGCUCUCCCUGUGCUCAUUCGGUGCCGGUGCACAUCACUCUGACCAUCUCUGCAUGAGGAGAAGUUUUUGGAAAGAGCUGAUUCACGGACUAGAAAAGACAAAUCCAGUUCUUUCUCCCAAAUGCAGAACUGAAUAUGAGGAAUGAUUACAGCUCCCAACAAUUGUAAAACCGGCAAAACAUGACAGAACUCCUGCUGCUAUUGAAAUCCUAAAGGGGAUUCAGAAGCUCUUCAGUGAACCCAAU
Long non-coding RNA from Mobula hypostoma (lesser devil ray), 280 nucleotides. RefSeq lists it as uncharacterized. The record is from RefSeq and is a predicted model, not a curated record. The transcript is spliced from 3 exons. Lineage: Eukaryota; Metazoa; Chordata; Chondrichthyes; Myliobatiformes; Myliobatidae.